UACUACACCCAUGUUACCCGGAACAAGCCUGAUCCCAUCUGAUCUCAGAAGCUAAGCAGGGUCGAGCCUGGUUAGUACUUGGAUGGGAGACUACCCUAGGAAGACCAGGUGCUAUAGGCG
Molecule: ribosomal RNA, 120 nt
Filed under: Pteropus alecto (black flying fox)
Lineage: Eukaryota; Metazoa; Chordata; Mammalia; Chiroptera; Pteropodidae
Source: RNAcentral